RNAcentral lists this long non-coding RNA (1056 nucleotides) under Mytilus galloprovincialis (Mediterranean mussel). Lineage: Eukaryota; Metazoa; Mollusca; Bivalvia; Mytilida; Mytilidae. The record is from RNAcentral.
GGUUCGGCAGGCAAAAUGUUUAUUGACACAACAUGGAUAAAUCUAUAGGAUUCCAAAUAUCUGACAUUAUGUCAAAAGCAUUAGUAGCAAAUAUCCUCAAUCACUGAGGGGGAUAGGACCUUUAUUGGGACUCCGGGAUCGGUGUUUUUAGGCUCAGGAUUUCGGGAUUGACCCUUUCGGGAUCCGGGAAUUCUUUAUUUGAAUUUUCGGGACCUCGAGAUUUCGGGAUCAGGACCCCUCCUAUCCCCCCUCAUCACUGAAAAAUGUAAUCAACAAACACAUAUGAAUCCAUAGCUUUUAAGACAUAUAUAAAUGAACCAAAAAAAAUUCAGCUGCCAUUUAUUUUCCCUGCAGUCCCAAUAGGAACCUCUUAUAUAAAAUUUGAACACAAACUUUUGGAAUGAAAAAAAGAAGCUCCCCUAUCUAAGUUACCAAUUUGUCUUCAUUGUACAAAUUAUUUUCAAAACAGUUUAGACUAAAGUGACAAAAAUAAUGCAAAGUGAUGUUUUGUGAUUCUGUUAAUUUUGAAAAUCCACAGGUUACUGUUGAUUCAUGAAUUUUUAAGGGUACAAAUUUUCAUGGAUUGUGGAAAACUUGCAUUUUCAUUGAUAUUCAUUAAAUAUUUGGCAGAGUCUGCAUAAAUUCCUUUAGACACUUUGUAAUUCAUUGAUUAUUUAAAUUAGAGAUUCCCCAGUACCCACAAAGUCCAUCUAAAUUGGUAUCCAAAGAAUAUUAAUGAAUCCACAGUACAUUGAUAAAAAAAUAAAGAAAUUCAUUAUGAUUGCCAAUGAGACAGCUAUCCACCUCAGUUCAAAUGAAGUGGAUGUGGACAUCAUUACUACAAAACAAUUGGUCAGUAUACAUGGUAUAUAAACAACAAUCAAGGGGAGUUUUGUUGUUCUCGACCUACCCCUGCAAAAUAAAUGGAAUGGCACGUUUGGAUAAUACACAAUAAUAUAAUAGCUCAACAGAUUUCUUUCUUCCAUCACUAACACCUCUGUGCACUUUAUAUAAACUAAUGGUCCAUCUGUCCACAAUGGCACAUUACAAUUCUGU